ACUCCUACGGGAGGCAGCAGUGGGGAAUAUUGGACAAUGGGGGAAACCCGUGAUCCAGCAAUGCCGCGUGAGUGAUGAAGGCCUUAGGUUGUAAAGCUCUUUUACCAGGGAUGAUAAUGACAGUACCUGGAGAAUAAGCUCCGGCUAACUCCGUGCCAGCAGCCGCGGUAAUACGGAGGGAGCUAGCGUUGUUCGGAAUUACUGGGCGUAAAGCGCACGUAGGCGGUUACUCAAGUCAGAGGUGAAAGCCCGGGGCUCAACCCCGGAACUGCCUUUGAAACUAGGUAACUAGAAUCCUGGAGAGGUGAGUGGAAUUCCGAGUGUAGAGGUGAAAUUCGUAGAUAUUCGGAAGAACACCAGUGGCGAAGGCGGCUCACUGGACAGGUAUUGACGCUGAGGUGCGAAAGCGUGGGAGCAAACAGGAUUAGAUACCCUGGUAGGAUAGCG
This 447-nucleotide ribosomal RNA is filed under the name uncultured bacterium. Its description in RNAcentral is "bacterial SSU rRNA". It matches the Rfam family "Bacterial small subunit ribosomal RNA", at positions 335 to 799 of the family's 1533-position model. The record is from RNAcentral.